This 500-nucleotide ribosomal RNA is filed under the name uncultured bacterium. Its description in RNAcentral is "partial 16S ribosomal RNA". It matches the Rfam family "Bacterial small subunit ribosomal RNA", at positions 30 to 523 of the family's 1533-position model. The record is from RNAcentral.
AUUGAACGCUGGCGGCAUGCCUUACACAUGCAAGUCGAACGGCAGCACGGGAGCAAUCCUGGUGGCGAGUGGCGAACGGGUGAGUAAAGUAUCGGAACGUGCCCAGUCGUGGGGGAUAACGUAGCGAAAGUUACGCUAAUACCGCAUACGAUCUAUGGAUGAAAGCGGGGGAUCGCAAGACCUCGCGCGAUUGGAGCGGCCGAUAUCAGAUUAGGUAGUUGGUGGGGUAAAGGCUCACCAAGCCGACGAUCUGGAGCUGGUCUGAGAGGACGACCAGCCACACUGGGACUGGGACACGGCCCAGACUCCUACGGGAGGCAGCAGUGGGGAAUUUUGGACAAUGGGCGAAAGCCUGAUCCAGCCAUGCCGCGUGCAGGAUGAAGGCCUUCGGGUUGUAAACUGCUUUUGUACGGAACGAAAAGGUUUGGGCUAAUAAGCUGAGCUCAUGACGGUACCGUAAGAAUAAGCACCGGCUAACUACGUGCCAGCCGCCGCUGUAA